RNAcentral lists this long non-coding RNA (487 nucleotides) under Phoenix dactylifera (date palm). RNAcentral describes it as "long non-coding RNA (PDAC_LNC000418)". Lineage: Eukaryota; Viridiplantae; Streptophyta; Magnoliopsida; Arecales; Arecaceae. The record is from RNAcentral.
AAACUUUUAAUCCCAUGUCUCCAGCCAUAUCUUUUCUUUUCUAACCAUGUUGAUUGAAUGUUUGAGUAUUCAAAACCUCUCGUGAGUCUGGAUACAAAGUAUCUUCAGUCUUUUUCACAACUUCUAAAUUGAUUUUCCACCAGCCUAUUCUAUUCAAUCUAAUUCUAGAUAGAGUCGGUAGACACUAUUUUAGUAUUUAGUAUAGGUAGUGUAAGAUAAAUAGAAAGUCUUAAUAGAUUUUUGCAUAAUCUCUUCUUCAAUCCUAAGAGCAAAAAUAGAGUGCAGGUAAAACCCAUUCAUUCUCAAGGAAAGACUAAGUCCAUUUCCAAGGUUAUUCUGGCUGUAGCUAAAUUUUUUCAAGAAUCUGACGCUGGGCUUGUUUCAUUCCGUGACAUCUUAGGAGGGAGCUUUACACAGGCUAAGUUCAUUAAUUCCCCUGCAUCAAUGGUCUAAGGGUGUGAAAAAAGCGUUCAUGUCGUAAUCCCAC